ACUCAAAGGAAUUGACGGGGGCCCGCACAAGCAGUGGAGCAUGUGGUUUAAUUCGAAGCAACGCGAAGAACCUUACCAAGACUUGACAUCCCGCUGACCGGUUUAGAGAUAGACCUUCCCUUCGGGGCAGCGGUGACAGGUGGUGCAUGGUUGUCGUCAGCUCGUGUCGUGAGAUGUUGGGUUAAGUCCCGCAACGAGCGCAACCCCUAAAUUGUGUUGCCAUCAUUUAGUUGGGCACUCACAAUUGACUGCCGGUGACAAACCGGAGGAAGGCGGGGAUGACGUCAAAUCAUCAUGCCCCUUAUGUCUUGGGCUACACACGUGCUACAAUGGGCGGUACAAAGGGUUGCGAUGCCGCGAGGCGGAGCCAAUCCCAAAAAGCCGCUCACAGUUCGGAUUGCAGGCUGCAACUCGCCUGCAUGAAGCUGGAAUUGCUAGUAAUCGCGGAUCAGCAUGCCGCGGUGAAUUCGUUCCCGGGCCUUGUACACACCGCCCGUCACACCAUGGGAGUUGGCAACACCCGAAGCCGGUGAGGUAACCGCAAGGAGCCAGCCGUCUAAGGUGGGGUCGAUGACUGGGGUGAAGUCGUAACAAGGUAGC
RNAcentral lists this ribosomal RNA (600 nucleotides) under uncultured bacterium. RNAcentral's name for it is "bacterial SSU rRNA". It matches the Rfam family "Bacterial small subunit ribosomal RNA", at positions 899 to 1500 of the family's 1533-position model. The record is from RNAcentral.